GAUGAGGAACGCAGCGAAAUGCGAUAAGUAAUGUGAAUUGCAGAAUUCAGUGAAUCAUCGAAUCUUUGAACGCACAUUGCGCCCUCUGGUAUUCCGGGGGGCAUGCCUGUUCGAGCGUCAUUAUAACCACUCAAGCUCUCGCUUGGUAUUGGGGUUCGCGGUUCCGCGGCCCCUAAAAUCAGUGGCGGUGCCUGUCGGCUCUACGCGUAGUAAUACUCCUCGCGAUUGAGUCCGGUAGGUCUACUUGCCAGCAACCCCCAAUUUUUACAGGUUGACCUCGGAUCAGGUAGGGAUACCCGCUGAACUUAAGCAUAUCAAUAAGCGGAGGA
This 329-nucleotide unclassified non-coding RNA is filed under the name soil metagenome. RNAcentral describes it as "partial contains 5.8S ribosomal RNA, internal transcribed spacer 2, and large subunit ribosomal RNA". The stretch from base 1 to 120 matches the Rfam family "5.8S ribosomal RNA", at positions 35 to 154 of the family's 154-position model. The record is from RNAcentral.